Molecule: transfer RNA, 75 nt
Filed under: Pyrinomonadaceae bacterium
Lineage: Bacteria; Pseudomonadati; Acidobacteriota; Blastocatellia; Blastocatellales; Pyrinomonadaceae
Description: tRNA-Gln
Rfam family: tRNA
About the family: Transfer RNA (tRNA) molecules are approximately 80 nucleotides in length.
Source: RNAcentral
UUCGAGUUCGUCCAAUCGGCAGGACGCUUGACUUUGAAUCAAGAAAUAAAGGUUCGAUUCCUUUGCUCGAAGCCA